ACAGAUAAGGAGCUUGCUCCUUUGACGUUAGCGGCGGACGGGUGAGUAACACGUGGGUAACCUACCUAUAAGACUGGGAUAACUUCGGGAAACCGGAGCUAAUACCGGAUAACAUUUGGAACCGCAUGGUUCUAAAGUGAAAGAUGGUUUUGCUAUCACUUAUAGAUGGACCCGCGCCGUAUUAGCUAGUUGGUAAGGUAACGGCUUACCAAGGCGACGAUACGUAGCCGACCUGAGAGGGUGAUCGGCCACACUGGAACUGAGACACGGUCCAGACUCCUACGGGAGGCAGCAGUAGGGAAUCUUCCGCAAUGGGCGAAAGCCUGACGGAGCAACGCCGCGUGAGUGAUGAAGGGUUUCGGCUCGUAAAACUCUGUUAUUAGGGAAGAACAAACGUGUAAGUAACUGUGCACGUCUUGACGGUACCUAAUCAGAAAGCCACGGCUAACUACGUGCCAGCAGCCGCGGUAAUACGUAGGUGGCAAGCGUUAUCCGGAAUUAUUGGGCGUAAAGCGCGCGUAGGCGGUUUCUUAAGUCUGAUGUGAAAGCCCACGGCUCAACCGUGGAGGGUCAUUGGAAACUGGGAAACUUGAGUGCAGAAGAGGAAAGUGGAAUUCCAUGUGUAGCGGUGAAAUGCGCAGAGAUAUGGAGGAACACCAGUGGCGAAGGCGACUUUCUGGUCUGUAACUGACGCUGAUGUGCGAAAGCGUGGGGAUCAAACAGGAUUAGAUACCCUGGUAGUCCACGCCGUAAACGAUGAGUGCUAAGUGUUAGGGGGUUUCCGCCCCUUAGUGCUGCAGCUAACGCAUUAAGCACUCCGCCUGGGGAGUACGACCGCAAGGUUGAAACUCAAAGGAAUUGACGGGGACCCGCACAAGCGGUGGAGCAUGUGGUUUAAUUCGAAGCAACGCGAAGAACCUUACCAAAUCUUGACAUCCUUUGAAAACUCUAGAGAUAGAGCCUUCCCCUUCGGGGGACAAAGUGACAGGUGGUGCAUGGGUUGUCGUCAGCUCGUGUCGUGAGAUGUUGGGUUAAGUCCCGCAACGAGCGCAACCCUUAAGCUUAGUUGCCAUCAUUAAGUUGGGCACUCUAGGUUGACUGCCGGUGACAAACCGGAGGAAGGUGGGGAUGACGUCAAAUCAUCAUGCCCCUUAUGAUUUGGGCUACACACGUGCUACAAUGGACAAUACAAAGGGCAGCUAAACCGCGAGGUCAUGCAAAUCCCAUAAAGUUGUUCUCAGUUCGGAUUGUAGUCUGCAACUCGACUACAUGAAGCUGGAAUCGCUAGUAAUCGUAGAUCAGCAUGCUACGGUGAAUACGUUCCCGGGUCUUGUACACACCGCCCGUCACACCACGAGAGUUUGUAACACCCGAAGCCGGUGGAGUAA
Molecule: ribosomal RNA, 1388 nt
Filed under: Staphylococcus saprophyticus
Lineage: Bacteria; Bacillati; Bacillota; Bacilli; Caryophanales; Staphylococcaceae
Description: bacterial SSU rRNA
Rfam family: Bacterial small subunit ribosomal RNA
Source: RNAcentral